AUCAAGUAAUUUGACCUUCCAACCUAUUUAACAUCUAUAAAUCUAUUAAACAUAAUGAAUCCACAAUAUUUCUUGCCACGUGGCAUGAAACCCUUCAUUCUUAGAUUAAUAGAUAGAAAAUAAAAACCAACUUUGAGCCAAAUCAAUUCUCUAAAACAUAAUGAAUCCACAAUGUCUCUUCCUCUUCCUACGGUUUCUCUUUUCAUCUCUCUUACGUUAUAUUUAAAAGUUAUCUUAAUUUGUGAGUAGUGAGGCUCAUUAUUUUUUAAUUAAUGUGAAAUGUUUCUUCUUCCUACGCCUUCUCUUAUCAUAUCUCUUACUUUUAUUUUUAGAUAUAAAUGAGAACAAUUGCUAAUUAAACAUUGCUAAAAAAGAAAAAACAUUAAUUAAGUAAGUUACACAUUCAUAAAUCAUAUUGCUAAUUGAUAAUUUAGAAGGUCAUCCGUUAUCUAAAAUUAAAUUUUGAACUUUAAUUUGGGUGAUUAAUAUGGAGAAUUAAUAACAAAUGAAUAAAAGAAAUUGAUGGGAAGAGAAAUAGUUGAGGAAAAAAAAAGAAAUAGUAAGAUAAAUCAAAUGGUAAAUGAUCAUUUAGAAAAGGGAAAACUUCUAAAUUAUCAAUUAGCANGAAAUAUUAACGAAAAAGCUUCCGAAAAGAUAAAAAUGAAACCACAGGGGGGUAAAUUGAUACGUUUUAAACCACAGGGUAGCAAAGUGAGAAUGCACGAAACCACAGGGGGGGGUUUUUGAAGUUUUCCCUUUAGAAAAUCGCAUAGGCAUAUCUUUUCUCUCCCUCACCCCAUCUAAGCAGCACCUACGUCGCCCGCCUUCGCUCCACUGCGGACUCCUUCGCCUUUCACUCCCCCCGCAAGAAGACCCUCUUCGAUCAACAUCUGAAGCCCCUCCUUCGAUCGCUACCACUCCUUCCCCGACGAUCCCAAUCCUGAUUCCUAUUUGGCCUUUAUUUAUUACUUUUUAGAUUUUAUUUUAUAAUAUUUU
Molecule: long non-coding RNA, 996 nt
Filed under: Ananas comosus (pineapple)
Lineage: Eukaryota; Viridiplantae; Streptophyta; Magnoliopsida; Poales; Bromeliaceae
Description: long non-coding RNA (ACOM_LNC015700)
Source: RNAcentral